RNAcentral lists this long non-coding RNA (303 nucleotides) under Nicotiana benthamiana. RNAcentral's name for it is "long non-coding RNA (NBEN_LNC023026)". Lineage: Eukaryota; Viridiplantae; Streptophyta; Magnoliopsida; Solanales; Solanaceae. The record is from RNAcentral.
CCCUAUCAGUCUCAUCAUCAACAUCAACUUUUGGCCGUGGUUUUCGUUUCCUAACCAAUGAACUUCCGAAAGGAACAAUACUUCCAUCUCUUUGAUAAAGAACAAGGGCACUCUCCCCUUGAAACUUGGUGUGGUAGGUGACACUUCCCUGUUGACCUUUAAUUUGGCUGCUUGGGUGUGGUAGGUGACACUUCCAUGUUGACCUUGAAUUUGGCUGCUUUCUCUGUUUAAAUCAAGAUGCUGCAAGUGUUCUGCAAUUUCAUCAAUUGGAGACAUGCCUCUCCAUGUUAAAGCUGGUGGGGG